AUUGAACGCUGGCGGCAGGCCUAACACAUGCAAGUCGAACGGUAACAGGAAACAGCUUGCUGUUUCGCUGACGAGUGGCGGACGGGUGAGUAAUGUCUGGGAAACUGCCUGAUGGAGGGGGAUAACUACUGGAAACGGUAGCUAAUACCGCAUAACGUCGCAAGACCAAAGAGGGGGACCCUCGGGCCUUUUGCCAUCGGAUGUGCCCAGAUGGGAUUAGCUUGUUGGUGGGGUAACGGCUCACCAAGGCGACGAUCCCUAGCUGGUCUGAGAGGAUGACCAGCCACACUGGAACUGAGACACGGUCCAGACUCCUACGGGAGGCAGCAGUGGGGAAUAUUGCACAAUGGGCGCAAGCCUGAUGCAGCCAUGCCGCGUGUAUGAAGAAGGCCUUCGGGUUGUAAAGUACUUUCAGCGGGGAGGAAGGGAGUAAAGUUAAUACCUUUGCUCAUUGACGUUACCCGCAGAAGAAGCACCGGCUAACUCCGUG
This 490-nucleotide ribosomal RNA is filed under the name uncultured bacterium. RNAcentral describes it as "partial 16S ribosomal RNA". It matches the Rfam family "Bacterial small subunit ribosomal RNA", at positions 30 to 507 of the family's 1533-position model. The record is from RNAcentral.